This is a long non-coding RNA of Rana temporaria (common frog), 436 nucleotides long. RefSeq lists it as uncharacterized. The record is from RefSeq and is a predicted model, not a curated record. NCBI's taxonomy places the organism in Eukaryota, Metazoa, Chordata, Amphibia, Anura, Ranidae. The transcript is spliced from 2 exons.
CUCUCGUAGGCCCGGGCGGUACCUCUCUUGGUGGUGCACCUGAAUUUGGAGUCCUUUUCUACACUGACCCAGGGGAGCUCCUCUCCCCUUUUUCCACCCCUCUGGUACCCCCCGGGGGAGUUUGAUGGUGCGGCAGUGGUUCAUCUGGUCCGGGUCUACGCCUUCCAUUGGACGUCUUGGAACCUAUGGCAGCGUCUAACUAAUACUCCCUGAAGAAGACCGCUACUUAUAAAAGGUCGAAACGCGUAGGGGUGUUUUUCGCCCAUAGUAUUUGUAUACUUACAGUACUGUUAUGCUAUGUCUGUACUUGUUCUACCCUGUGUUAUUAUUUGCCAUGUAUGACUUAUGUUUUUUUACCAAGUUCAUAUCUUGAGUCCCUACUGUUUGGGGCUUUUUCCGUACAACAUAUUUAAAUAAAUUUAUACUUUUAUAUAUC